AACUUGUGACAAUGGAUCUCUUGGCUCUCGCACCGAUGAAGAACGCAGCGAAAUGCGAUAAGUAAUGUGAAUUGCAGAAUUCAGUGAAUCAUCGAAUCUUUGAACGCACCUUGCGCCUUUUGGUAUUCCGAAGGGCAUGCCUGUUUGAGUGUCAUUAAUAUCUCAACUUCAAAACCUUUUGGUUUUUUGAAGCCUUGGAUGUUGGAGGCUUAUGCUGGUGAAUUAACUGGCUCCUCUUAAAUACAUUAGCGGAACUUAAUGAAUCGGCUUUGGCUUGAUAAUAAUAAUAAAUCUAUGCUAUCGCUGAGGAGUCUGUCUUCUGCUUCUAACUGUCCUCUGGGACUGCCUUUUGGCAAUUAUUUUAAACUUGACCUCAAAUCAGGUAGGACUACCCGCUGAACUUAAGCAUAUCAAUAAGCGGAGGCU
Molecule: unclassified non-coding RNA, 426 nt
Filed under: uncultured Clavulinopsis
Lineage: Eukaryota; Fungi; Basidiomycota; Agaricomycetes; Agaricales; Clavariaceae
Description: sequence contains ITS2
Rfam family: 5.8S ribosomal RNA (bases 1-154)
Source: RNAcentral